Molecule: long non-coding RNA, 827 nt
Filed under: Mytilus galloprovincialis (Mediterranean mussel)
Lineage: Eukaryota; Metazoa; Mollusca; Bivalvia; Mytilida; Mytilidae
Source: RNAcentral
GAUUUGUAAACACAGAACAGGGGUGUGGAAAUGCUAUGCCCGACUCGCCCGACUCGUACAUUUGAACAACCGGACAAGUAAUUAUUUGUGUCUUGGUUGCCCGUGGACAAGUAAAAAAAUAUACAACAUGUACAAGACAAAGUUCAAAUCCAACAAAAAUAUAAAAUUAAUUUCAAAACGUAUAAAGAUGUUUAAUUUAUGUAAAAGAAACCAAUCUUCAGCAAGUAAAAACAUCAAUGUUCAUGACGAUAAAUAUUACAUGAUACUGGAAAUAGAUCGAUUACAAAAAUAAAUAAAAAUAAUCAUUUACCGGUUGUGUCAUUUCUUUAAAUUUUGUAUCGAGAUUCAGAUAGACAAAUACUUAAUAAAAAGCUGGGCAAGCAAGACAAAACGAAUCAUGAGUCGAGUAGAAAACCUUAAAUGCAAACGGAGGACACAGAGUAUUUAAAAAAAAAAGAAACGGAAGCGAGAAUCACUGUCCUCAAAUUUAGUAUAUUAUGUACCUGCUGGCUACAAUUUUUAUUCCAAAACUGCUGCAAAAUUGUCCUUUAUAUGUCAUUUCAUUGGUUGGUUUGCUGUUAGGUUUCUGUCCCACUGAUGUUAACCCAUUUCCUACUUUCCUAAUUUUUUACACAUAUAAACAAAUGGAUUUCAUUUGUUUGUGAUGCACAAUAGUGCUAAGUAAGAAUCAUAUAUUAGCUAACAAGAAAUACUUCAAUAUUUAUUGGGAUCAUCAGGGCAAGUAAAUUUGUUUCCGGACAAGUAAAAUUUUUAGUUUUACUUGCCCACGGACAAGUGCUCACAACAAAUAUUUCCACACCCCUGAC